UCCAGCCACAUCACGUUGAAAUAACCGGUUCCCAUACGAUCACUGAAGUGAAGCAACGUCAAGUUUGGUCAGUAGCUAGAUGGGAGAAUGCUUGGGAAUACCAGGUGCUGUAAG
Molecule: non-coding RNA, 114 nt
Organism: Acanthosepion pharaonis
Lineage: Eukaryota; Metazoa; Mollusca; Cephalopoda; Sepiida; Sepiidae
Source: the annotation of a GenBank genome assembly